UUGAACGCUGGCGGCAGGCCUAACACAUGCAAGUCGAGCGGAUGAAGGGAGCUUGCUCCUGGAUUCAGCGGCGGACGGGUGAGUAAUGCCUAGGAAUCUGCCUGGUAGUGGGGGAUAACGUCCGGAAACGGGCGCUAAUACCGCAUACGUCCUGAGGGAGAAAGUGGGGGAUCUUCGGACCUCACGCUAUCAGAUGAGCCUAGGUCGGAUUAGCUAGUUGGUGGGGUAAAGGCCUACCAAGGCGACGAUCCGUAACUGGUCUGAGAGGAUGAUCAGUCACACUGGAACUGAGACACGGUCCAGACUCCUACGGGGGGCAGCAGUGGGGAAUAUUGGACAAAGGGCGAAAGCCUGAUCCAGCCAUGCCGCGUGUGUGAAGAAGGUCUUCGGAUUGUAAAGCACUUUAAGUUGGGAGGAAGGGCAGUAAGUUAAUACCUUGCUGUUUUGACGUUACCAACAGAAUAAGCACCGGCUAACUUCGUG
RNAcentral lists this ribosomal RNA (483 nucleotides) under uncultured bacterium. RNAcentral's name for it is "partial 16S ribosomal RNA". It matches the Rfam family "Bacterial small subunit ribosomal RNA", at positions 30 to 507 of the family's 1533-position model. The record is from RNAcentral.